AAAGAAUAAAUUUUAAUUUAUUAAAACUCCCAGCCAUCAAACACGUCUCCUUCAUCAAUUCUAAACAGCAUACUCUUCCCCUCUAUACUUAUCAAAUCGUCACACUAUCUGUCUCUCAAAAACUCACGCUUUCUCUCUCUGUCAUCUUCUACAAUUCAUAAAACAGAACAAUCCCAAUUCCCAUCUCUUCUUCCUCUCUUUCCUAUCACACUCCGAAACACGAACUCGGCUCCCACCGUAGCUCCCUCUCUAAAUCUCACUUCACAGAAGCACAAAAAUCCUACUCCAGUUACAGCUCUCUCCCUCGCUCGCUGCUGUACCAGCAGUCGCUGUCAUCGCUGCCGCUGUCUCACUCCCAUCGGGAGUCCGCCGUCGAGCAGCCGUUGUCCGUCGACGCCACUGCCCAGCCCGUUCACGUCAGUGGGCAGACAUAAGUAAUUCCAAGAAUUUAAGGUUGAAGAGAGAAAACAAAAGGCAGCUUCUAAAGUAUUAAAGGUCGAAACCUUGGGAGCAAAGUGUCAUUCAGUGGGUUGCAGAAAUUUAAAAAAAUGUUCCAGAUUCCCGUGAACUAACGUGUAACGUGUAUGUAUGGAAGUAUGUCAUGGAAGUAUGUCAUGGGAGGAAUAGAAUUUGUACAGGCAGAAGGUAUUAAAGAUCACAACUUUCUCUGUUCUUCUUCACACUGUGAAAUUGCGAGUUUGUAUUAUGGAAUCAAUAAGUGUGGAGAUUCUAGUAUUCAAUGGAAAGUGAGAUUACCUUGACGGAAGAGACACAAAAACUGCACUAAGAUUGUGAAAUGGCGUUGAUAAAAGAUGCAGUUGUGGGGAGAGAUAUAUAAUGUAGAGAUUUGAUUUUGUUUGUUGGAGAGAUUUUAGGGAGUGGGGAUAUUGAUAAAAACGUGUAGAAAGGGGUUUAGGAAAAUGGAUUUAUGUUGAUUGA
Non-coding RNA from Salvia hispanica, 939 nucleotides. NCBI's taxonomy places the organism in Eukaryota, Viridiplantae, Streptophyta, Magnoliopsida, Lamiales, Lamiaceae. The record is from RefSeq and is a predicted model, not a curated record.